AUGGGGAACAUGUUCAUGGGACAUACACGAUGCCCCUGCUUGCAUAUCAUAUAAGGUUAUAAAGUGACAUAACCUAAGAAGGGUAAAACAAAAGUUGUACUUGAUCAGAGUUUUGAGGUAAUAAGUAAUGUAUAGAUUCUUACAUUGAUACCAGAUGACUAUCCGAUUUAUCCAAUCAAGAUAGUUAAAUUAUCAAUUUUAAAGUCUGAGUCUUGGCAAGGACUUAACAAUUGAUAGUUUAACUAUCCAGUUUGUAUAAAUCCGAUAAUCCACAAGUAACUUUGUAAGAAUCUGUUUCUCAAAUGAUUAAAUAAUAAUAAAACGAAAAAUCUCCUUCAAGUGCCUUCCAUAUUUCACAAAAUUGUCAAUUUUAUUAACACCUGUUAAAAUUUUUUUUCAUUAAUAAGCAAAUUAAGGUUAUGACCCUUGAUCUCAUCCAAUCAUCUUCUGAGAUUGAAUGCAACCAUACUUAAUUUUUUUUUUUCAAUGAGUGCAGAAAGGUAUAAAUUGUCAAAGAAUUAGAGAAAAGUUUGUUUUUUCCAUUUGUAAAGGGCUCAACUCUAGAACUGUAUUUGUGAAGCAACUAAAAUUCAAACUUGAUCUGUGUUUUGUGGUAAUUGAAAUUGAGUACAAGUCUCAUAACAUUUUGUUGAGGCAAACUAAAGUUGGAGAAUGGAAACCAACUUUGGGAGGUACGUACAGUUGUACAUACAGACAAGAGUAUGCUACGCUAUUAUCAUAUUAAAAACAAAAAUGAAAUAAAUACAAAUGAUUAGCAUGAUCAGGAGAUAUGAUUCAUAUUUAAUAUUUUGCCGAAAUCUGCAUACAAGCAUAUAGAUAAUUUGGCAUUUGUUGAACAUUUAAUUUCGUGUUUCACUUGUUCCCAUAAAAUCCAUUAAAAUUGGUAUUCAAUGAAUAAUAAUGAAUCCACAGUAUGGGAAUUACAGCUAAUUUUUAAGUUUUUAUAAUAGAUAAAUACAUUACAUGCAAAACAGGGCUUCCAAAACAGUCAUAUAUUCCGGACAUUUGAUUAAUGUCAGGUAAAAGUCCGGUUGGGCAAAGCAUGAAAUGGUCAUAUACAUUUUAGUUUUCAAGGCUUUUUCAGUCAUUUUAACGUAAGUCACGAUCUUUUUGACCCAACUUUU
Molecule: long non-coding RNA, 1145 nt
Filed under: Mytilus galloprovincialis (Mediterranean mussel)
Lineage: Eukaryota; Metazoa; Mollusca; Bivalvia; Mytilida; Mytilidae
Source: RNAcentral